Molecule: ribosomal RNA, 367 nt
Filed under: uncultured Streptococcus sp.
Lineage: Bacteria; Bacillati; Bacillota; Bacilli; Lactobacillales; Streptococcaceae
Description: bacterial SSU rRNA
Rfam family: Bacterial small subunit ribosomal RNA
Source: RNAcentral
GUUACUUCGGUACAUCGGUGACAGGUGGUGCAUGGUUGUCGUCAGCUCGUGUCGUGAGAUGUUGGGUUAAGUCCCGCAACGAGCGCAACCCCUAUUGUUAGUUGCCAUCAUUCAGUUGGGCACUCUAGCGAGACUGCCCGGUAAUAAACCGGAGGAAGGUGGGAUGACGUCAAAUCAUCAUGCCCCUUAUGACCUGGGCUACACACGUGCUACAAUGGUUGGUACAACGAGUUGCGAGUCGGUGACGGCGAGCUAAUCUCUUAAAGCCAAUCUCAGUUCGGAUUGUAGGCUGCAACUCGCCUACAUGAAGUCGGAAUCGCUAGUAAUCGCGGAUCAGCACGCCGCGGUGAAUACGUUCCCGGGCCUU